AGUGAACGCUGGCGGUAGGCCUAACACAUGCAAGUCGAACGGCAGCACAGUAAGAGCUUGCUCUUACGGGUGGCGAGUGGCGGACGGGUGAGGAAUACAUCGGAAUCUACUUUUUCGUGGGGGAUAACGUAGGGAAACUUACGCUAAUACCGCAUACGACCUACGGGUGAAAGCAGGGGAUCUUCGGACCUUGCGCGAUUGAAUGAGCCGAUGUCGGAUUAGCUAGUUGGCGGGGUAAGGGCCCACCAAGGCGACGAUCCGUAGCUGGUCUGAGAGGAUGAUCAGCCACACUGGAACUGAGACACGGUCCAGACUCCUACGGGAGGCAGCAGUGGGGAAUAUUGGACAAUGGGCGCAAGCCUGAUCCAGCCAUACCGCGUGGGUGAAGAAGGCCUUCGGGUUGUAAAGCCCUUUUGUUGGGAAAGAAAAGCAGCAGGUUAAUACCCCGCUGUUCUGACGGUAGCCAAAGAAUAAGCACCGGCUAACUUCGUG
Molecule: ribosomal RNA, 492 nt
Filed under: uncultured bacterium
Lineage: Bacteria
Description: partial 16S ribosomal RNA
Rfam family: Bacterial small subunit ribosomal RNA
Source: RNAcentral